ACGGACUAAUGAGCAACUCUCUGCAGUCAGUGUGUGGGUAUCCAGCCUGCACGUGUCCCGCACACCAGGGGCACCUGCACGCUGCAGCCCCUCAGCAGAGGUGGAGGCAGCCGGGUGCCUGCUGCUCCCCACUCACACUGCGUGGAGCGUGUAGGAAAUGGCAGCCACAGGAAGGCUGCAGACUCAGGGAGUCGGAGAGCACAGGGCCCAGUAUGGAUACUGCACCAAGGCCUCUGAGGAAAUAAGUCAACUGCUGCCUUCACAUACUUGUUCAAGCCGUGUUGCCCGAACUUGUGCGGAACGGACCCUAUGCAUUUCCACUCUCCAUGACUCGCAUGCAGCUGCCAGCCAGCCACCGAACCACAUCAGCAGUGGCUCCCUGCCCGCAGUCAACCGCAGCGGUGAAGACAUUCCCGCAGGGCCGCACCCCAGCUCAGGGGGGUGUCUCCUGCCUCCCUGCCUCAGUUUCCCUCUGCAGCAUGGAAGGAGUUCGAGUAAACCCGGACCUCAGGAGGCCCUGUGCUAGUGCUCGUUAUUCUGUGACUGAAUACAAGUGGGCCACACACCCAGCACCUUGUCUGAGCCAUGUGGGCCCGGAAGGUCUGGUUCUAGAGCUGUGGUGUGGAGAACUGUGUGGACUCGACUGCUGCUGCAGGCUGGGCCGAGGGAUUGCUAAGGCUCCCAUGUUAAAGGCUGGGCCCUCCGAGGGUGUGGUUAGGAGGUAAUGGAGGCGGUAAGGGGGCCCAGUGGAGGUCCUCAAAGAUGACUGGAGGACCAGGACACCUCCUUUUGCUCUUUUUUUGGAAAUGGGGUGGUUGAGAUAAGGUCUCUUCUAAGUAGUCCAGGCUGGCUUUGAAUCAGAGCAAUUCUCCUCCUGCCUCAGUCUCCCGAGUGCUGGGAUGACAGGCAAAGAAAUCUUUUCUCUUUAUAAGCUGAUGACCUCAGAUGUGUGUCACAGUGGCGGACAGCUGACUAGCACAGCAGCAGAGUAUUCCUAACCCAGAAAUCCAGUGCGGUAAAACCAGAGACUUUGGACUGGAUUGAGAGUUCAAUCCAUGAUCCUAAAUUUUGGAUCAGGACUUUUAUAAGCAAAUCUAAAAGGGAACCAGAAACUAUCCAGGUGCAGUCAAGUAGUGCUUCAAAAAAAAUCACUGCUUUCUUGAGUUUUCUAUGUUAUGUUUUUCAAUAUGCUAAAAGAAAUCACUUAUUGUUUCAGAUACAGAAAUCUUCAGGAAGUUGGAUUUACCUCAAUCUUUUCUUUAAGCAGAGAUAA
RNAcentral lists this long non-coding RNA (1273 nucleotides) under Heterocephalus glaber (naked mole-rat). Its description in RNAcentral is "lncRNA (ENSHGLG00100052537.1)". The record is from RNAcentral. Lineage: Eukaryota; Metazoa; Chordata; Mammalia; Rodentia; Bathyergidae.